CCUACGGGAGGCAGCAGUGAGGAAUAUUGGUCAAUGGACGAGAGUCUGAACCAGCCAAGUAGCGUGAAGGAUGACUGCCCUAUGGGUUGUAAACUUCUUUUGUAUGGGAAUAAAAUGUUCCACGUGUGGGCUUUUGUAUGUACCCUAUGAAUAAGGAUCGGCUAACUUCGUGCCAGCAGCCGCGGUAAUUCGGAGGAUCCGAGCGUUAUCCGGUUUUAUUGGGUUUAAAGGGAGCUUAGGUGGAUUGUUAAGUCAGUUGUGAAAGUUUGCGGCCCAACCGUAAAAUUGCAGUUGAAACUGGCAGUCUUGAGUACAGUAGAGGUGGGCGGAAUGCGUGGUGUAGCGGUGAAAUGCUUAGAUAUCACGAAGAACUCCGAUUGCGAAGGCAGUACACUGGACUGCAACUGACACUGAGGCUCGAAAGUGUGGGUAUCAAACAGGAUUAGAUACCCGAGUAGUC
This 460-nucleotide ribosomal RNA is filed under the name uncultured bacterium. Its description in RNAcentral is "partial 16S ribosomal RNA". It matches the Rfam family "Bacterial small subunit ribosomal RNA", at positions 338 to 795 of the family's 1533-position model. The record is from RNAcentral.